AGGACGAACGCUGGCGGCGCGCUUAACACAUGCAAGUCGUACGGGGUCACCCUUUCGGGGGUGGUUCAGUGGCGAACGGGUGCGUAACACGUGAGCAACCUGCCUGCCGGUGGGGGAUAACCCGGGGAAACCCGGGCUAAUACCGCAUUCGCUCAUCUCUUCGAUUGAGGGGAUGAGGAAAGGUGCUGCAAGGCACUGCCGGCAGAGGGGCUCGCGGCGUAUCAGCUAGCUGGUGAGGUAACGGCUCACCAGGGCAACGACGCGUAGCCGAUCUGAGAGGAUGAUCGGCCACAUUGGGACUGAGAUACGGCCCAGACUCCGUACGGGAGCAGCGAGUGGGGAAUC
RNAcentral lists this ribosomal RNA (345 nucleotides) under uncultured soil bacterium. RNAcentral describes it as "bacterial SSU rRNA". It matches the Rfam family "Bacterial small subunit ribosomal RNA", at positions 26 to 363 of the family's 1533-position model. The record is from RNAcentral.